RNAcentral lists this transfer RNA (72 nucleotides) under Capra hircus (goat). It matches the Rfam family "tRNA". Rfam says of the family: Transfer RNA (tRNA) molecules are approximately 80 nucleotides in length. Their secondary structure includes four short double-helical elements and three loops (D, anti-codon, and T loops). Further hydrogen bonds mediate the characteristic L-shaped molecular structure. tRNAs have two regions of fundamental functional importance: the anti-codon, which is responsible for specific mRNA codon recognition, and the 3' end, to which the tRNAs corresponding amino acid is attached (by aminoacyl-tRNA synthetases). tRNAs cope with the degeneracy of the genetic code in two manners: having more than one tRNA (with a specific anti-codon) for a particular amino acid; and 'wobble' base-pairing, i.e. permitting non-standard base-pairing at the 3rd anti-codon position. Lineage: Eukaryota; Metazoa; Chordata; Mammalia; Artiodactyla; Bovidae. RNAcentral also lists the same sequence under 1 other name. The record is from Rfam by way of RNAcentral.
UCCCUGGUAGUCUAGCGGUUACGAUUCAGAGCUUUCAUUGUUGUGGCCCAGGUUCAACCCCUGGUUGGGGAA